UUUUCUCUCCAACUUCCCAUUUCAGCUUGCCUAGAUGCUGGAUGCUAUCUUGUUUGUCUUCUUCCAAAUUGCCUGUUGUGACGCGGACGGCGUACAGAGAUGGAGUCGAUCGAUCUCACCGGUCCCAAUCCGCCGCCUUCUCCUUCGCCGACAUGUACACCCUACACCUGCAGCGUCCCGCGGUCACCCUCUACCCGCUCGGAAACCCAGCGCCGCCGCCGCCGCGCCGCUGGUGCCGCUCACCACUGUGCCCGCUCCCCGUGAGCGCGGCCACCGCAGGGAGCAGGCUCGCUUAUAUCCCCCGCGCCUCCGCCGCCGCAAACCCGCAUCCCGACCCUCAGGAUGAGCCGGAGCCGCAGCCGAAGGGCGGGUUCUGGACCAGGUGGAUGGCGGAGAGCGCGGAGAUGAGGGCCAAGGUGGCCAAGCUCGGCCUGGCCGCCGUGCUGGCCUACGGGCUGUUCGACGCCGUCACCUACACGACGUUCUUCGUGCUGGCCUUCCUCGGCUACGAGAAGAGCACCGGCAAGAACCCGGCGGCCAAUCUCAAGGCCUUGCUGGGGAUAGUUAUCCUAAUGUGGACCGGUAACAAUGUUACUAGGCCAUUCCGAGUUGCUGGUGCAGCUGCUUUGGCACCGGCGAUCGACAAAGGGUUGAAGGGUAUUCAAGAGAAACUUAACCUUCCAAGCCAGAUGUAUGCUUUUGCACUCGUGGUUGGCUCCGUGGCUGCGGUAUGCUUCACAAUUUUUGGAUGCUUGAUCCUCUCGAAAUGGGGAAAGUGAUUUGUUGGAAUCCUGGCCAUCAAGCAUGAUUGGUAUGAAUAUUGGAUCCAACUAGUUUUCUUUGGACUUCGACUUGAUACUUUAGCGCAUCUGCAAGCGGUAUUUCUCUGCUUCACAAGAGAAAUGUUCUAAAGAUGGUUAGUCAGACACUCAUAGAACUUCCACUGAAGGAAAUUAAAAAUCCCCAAAGAUCACAUAACAAAAGGCAUUCAGUAGGAUUUACAUCCCAUUACAAAUAUACCAUUGUAGCUGUAAUAGACUAUGAUGAUUCUAUUGUAGUGCAUUAUGAGGACAAGCAGAAGGGCAAUUGCUAGUUACCCCGUGUUGUUUCCUCCGGCAGGAUUCCUUGGAGGCGCUCCGAUAGAAAAACUGAUGCCUUCCGCUGUAAAUUCUGAUAAAAUAAAGGAAGCACGAUCAGAAUGGAGACAAUCAAUUAUUCUAUGAUAAAGGAUAAAGGAAGCAGGUUCAAACUGGAUUAUGCGUGAUAUUUUUAUUUAGCAUGACAAAUGAUGUUUGCGUACUAUUCUUCGAAUGAAAUUCUUGACACUGAAAUUGAAAACCAGUUUGCAUGCCCAAAA
This is a non-coding RNA of Oryza sativa Japonica Group (Japanese rice), 1357 nucleotides long. The record is from RefSeq and is a predicted model, not a curated record. NCBI's taxonomy places the organism in Eukaryota, Viridiplantae, Streptophyta, Magnoliopsida, Poales, Poaceae.